GGGGAAUCUUGGACAAUGGGCGCAAGCCUGAUCCAGCCAUGCCGCGUGAGUGAAGAAGGCCUUAGGGUUGUAAAGCUCUUUUGGCAGGGACGAUAAUGACGGUACCUGCAGAAUAAGCCCCGGCAAACUUCGUGCCAGCAGCCGCGGUAAUACGAAGGGGGCUAGCGUUGUUCGGAUUUACUGGGCGUAAAGCGCACGUAGGCGGAUUGUUAAGUCAGGGGUGAAAUCCCGGAGCUCAACUCCGGAACUGCCUUUGAUACUGGCAAUCUGGAGGCUGGAAGAGGUUGGUAGAAUUCCCAGUGUAGAGGUGAAAUUCGUAGAUAUUGGGAAGAAUACAAGUGGCGAAGGCGGCCAACUGGUCCAGAUCUGACGCUGCGGUGCGAAAGCGUGGGGAGCAAACA
This 401-nucleotide ribosomal RNA is filed under the name uncultured bacterium. RNAcentral's name for it is "bacterial SSU rRNA". It matches the Rfam family "Bacterial small subunit ribosomal RNA", at positions 356 to 774 of the family's 1533-position model. The record is from RNAcentral.